Molecule: long non-coding RNA, 3135 nt
Organism: Helianthus annuus (common sunflower)
Lineage: Eukaryota; Viridiplantae; Streptophyta; Magnoliopsida; Asterales; Asteraceae
Exons: 16
Source: RefSeq, a predicted model, not a curated record
AGUACGUUGUCGAUGAUUGUUCCGACAACAACAAUGGCAUAGAGUAGAUGAAGGGGCUCUUGUCAGUUAGACCCGCAAGCACAUAUGAGUUUUGCUGGUUUAAAGACACACUCCAACUGUUUGAUGAAAUGCUUCAACUAAAAAUUCAAGAUGCAAAUUACCGGCAUAUGCGUUUUUUGCGAUGGACAUCAUCUGAAAAUGAAAUUCAUCAAACUAAUUUGCUGUUUUUUGGGGACUUCAAGAAUUAGAAUGGAUAAUGGGUAGAUUGAUACUGAUGGUGUCUCUUUAGCAACAUGCUGGACAGGUUUGAUUGAUAUUACAAGUUUUCAUCUUAUUAUAUGUUUACAACUGGAAUAAUAAUUUCCUUGGUGCAACAGGAGGUAGCAUUGUCAUUUGUACUUUACUUUUGUUUAUUUGAUUUAGGGUAAAGGGAUGUUAUUAGAAUCAGCUCUAAUGAACAGGUGCUCCCAAAAUGGUCACAAACAGGUUGAGAUUAUUUUUACAUUGUAGCACGCAUCCACCAAAUAUAUACCAUAUUCUGGACAAUAUAUAAUUCAAGGAUAACAUAAGAUAUGGGUCGUGGUGUCCCAUGUAGAGAGUUCAAAAUGUGAAAGAUGCUGGAAUGUUUCACCUCAUGUUGGUUCAUUUUUUUUAUCACCCGACGCUUUGCAAACGCUGAUGUUAUUGCUGGUCAGCCACUUCAUGUUCUUGCAGCUGCAGAAAGUGGAAAGUAAAAUCGUGCAGAAAGUUCGAGGAUAGCGCAUGCUUCUGGUCAAACGGGAUCUUAACAGGCCACGUGGUUUUAUGUUUCUUCGUAAGGUGGUCGCUUGAUUUUUUAUUUGAAUCGCUUGGUGAAAUGUGUGGGCGGAUGUAUUUCCAAAAAUCUUUGCUUUGGAGUCCAACAAAAAUGAAAUUGUGGCUGUGAGAUGUCAAUCGUAGUGUCUCAAUUUGGUUUUGGGAGUGAAAAAGGGAACCAUUGUUGGAUGAAGAGCUGUUAGAGUUUGGUCUUUGUCAAAAUUUAAUUCAAGAGAUCACGCUCUGGGAGUCUACUAACCAGAUUUUGAGGAAGCGGGUUGACCAUUUCGAAAUAUGUUGGCCCUUUGAAUAAUACCAGGUCAAAUGAGACCUACGGAGCUGCAUGAAGCACGGUUUGAGGCCUUGCAACAAGGGAUCUUGAAAGCUUCAAUAUUUGUUUAUGAACAAUUAUGUCAUAAAAGAUGCGUUCAUCAGAAAUCGGUAUUACUGUCCGCUGGCGCACGAAAGAUACUUAUAAGGAUAUCAAAGUGUUGGUUUUAUUUGAAUCAUAGUGUUGACGUUAACACACAUUUUCACGGCCGCGUCGAUAAAGUUUCACCCACGCCGAUUUCUCAGUCGUUGAUCGAGCAUUUUAUGCAUAGUCGUCAAUAGCGAAUUGCUGAUGAUGACGAUAAGCUACAUAUACGCUACGUAGCUAUAGUGUUAAAAUAGCGGGCACCAUAGUUGUUAACGGUGAAUAACGACAAAGAGCGAUAAGGUACCUACCUAUAUGUUACAUAGCGAAUAACGAUAAAUAGCGGGCAGUGAUGGUGAUUAACGGUGGGUAUAAGUUCCGGGGGUGGUAGAAGGUGAUUGUGGUGGUGACGGUUGACAAUUAUGGCGGACAAUGGUGGUUUGGUUUUUAGUGGUGCUCGGUGGAGCUAUGGAGAGUAACCGGGGUAGCCGGUGAGGUAUUAACCAGAGACGAGUCAAGUAACGAGUCAACCACUGGUCAACCGCGGUCAAAGCUGGUCAAUAGUGGUUAACAUGUCAGACUCGGUUGGCAUUUGAAUCGGGGAAACUCGGUGAGAAAUUCAAGAACUGGGCAUUCGUGAUGCCAUGUUAUAUUGACGGAAGUAGUAUGUACCCACUUGUAUACGAAUCUUUAUUACCUAAAGUACGUCGUUAGCUCCACAAGCACGCCUUUGUCUCUGUUGAAGACAAAUCGAGCGUUAGCUGCACCAGAUAAAAAAAACCUUUGUCUCUGUUGAAGACAAAUUGAGCGUUAGCCGUACCAGAAAAAAAAGAGCUAUGAGUUUCAUCAACUGCUGUUGUAUUAUGUGGGCACAUAAGUAGUUAUCACUCAAUUAGCUAUUGGUGCUCCUCUGCCUCCCGUAGUUAUUUUUCAGGUUCCACCCAGAGUAAUAGAGUAAUAUGACGCCUUUGUGGCUGCAGUAGAUAAAGGAAAUAUAAUAACAAUGCCAAACAGAAGCAUGCCUACUCCUGGCGCGCUUUUAAUGGGAGACCCAUUUAACACGUGACACCCGUUCCGGUGUAGGAAUGAUUGUUGUGUUAUCAGAUAUCGUCUUACUUCGCGACCUUUGUAGACCACUAAGUAAUCUUAAUGAUGCACCUACACUUUGCAAUUAUCUUGAGUGCUUCUAUGCUCUUAGAAAGUCGUGUCAUCUACGAUAAACACAUUGGUGGGUGCUCUAUACAAGGUAUUUUGUGCAUCACCAGACUCAUGAAGAAAAGAAAUGCGUCAAGCAUGCUUCAAUUAUCUUAGCCUUGAAGGCAUAUGCUCACAAGGACCGAUAUCUUUACUUUCAUGACUCAACCGACGCCUCAUAGUCCUAUUUCUUCAUUUUUUUCUAUUGCUAUCUAUGGUGUUGGCUGUUUCUCUCAACCUGUUCCCAUCACCAAAACCGUUAUGGCUUGGGGCUCGACUCAUCUUGGGUGCAUCUGGGAUCAUCUUUCCAAUUAUCAAGUCGGAAGGAGUUCGACAAAUGUACUUCUCAGCAAUGGUUGCAGCAUACUACAAAGCUCCUCAAGUUGCUUAACCAUCAAUCAUAUCUUGAGUUUUUAAUGUUGGAAUGGUAUUGGAAGUAGGGUCCUAAUCUUCAUUUGGGGAGGUUGUGAUUAUUGUUUGGUUUGAAGGUUUUUGGAUUUAGGUAUAUGCAAUGCCUAAAGAAGUUGAAUUGGUUAUUAUUGUUUGUUGCUUAUAGACUUAAAAUGAGAGUUUGUGUUUCGAAGUUAUGUGUAGUAACGAAUGUAUUAGCUGCGAUUGUGUUUGUGAAAUUUCUGAUUAAUCACCAUAUCCGACAGUGGUUUUAAAAUUUUUUUAUGUUCAACGAUAAGGUAAAGUAUUAACCUUUUGGGAUGUUCUAAUUCUGGUGCGAA